RNAcentral lists this ribosomal RNA (253 nucleotides) under uncultured bacterium. RNAcentral describes it as "partial 16S ribosomal RNA". It matches the Rfam family "Bacterial small subunit ribosomal RNA", at positions 524 to 776 of the family's 1533-position model. The record is from RNAcentral.
GACGUAGGAUGCAAGCGUUAUCCGGAAUUAUUGGGCGUAAAGCGUUCGUAGGUGGUUUGUUAAGUUGGAUGUUAAAUCCCUGAGCUCAACUCAGGAUUGGUAUCCAAAACUGGCAAGCUGGAGACAGGUAGAGGUAGAUGGAACUCUGUGUGUAGGGGUAAUAUCCGUAGAUAUACAGAAGAACACCAAAAGCGAAAGCAGUCUACUGGACCUGUUCUGACACUCAAGAACGAAAGCGUGGGUAGCAAACGGG